AACGAACGCUGGCGGCGUGCUUAACACAUGCAAGUCGUACGAGAAAGUUCCGGCAACGGAAUGAGUAAAGUGGCGCACGGGUGAGUAACACGUGGGUAAUUUACCUUUAAGUUGAGAAUAACCUUGCGAAAGUGGGGCUAAUACUCAAUAAGACCACGAUGACUCAGGUUAUUGCGGUAAAAGAAGGCCACUGAUUUAAGCUUUCACUUAAAGAUAAGCCCGCGGACCAUUAGCUAGUUGGUAAGGUAAUGGCUUACCAAGGCAACGAUGGUUAGCUGGUCUGAGAGGAUGAUCAGCCACACUGGAACUGGAACACGGUCCAGACUCCUACGGGUGGCUG
RNAcentral lists this ribosomal RNA (340 nucleotides) under uncultured Pseudomonadota bacterium. Its description in RNAcentral is "bacterial SSU rRNA". It matches the Rfam family "Bacterial small subunit ribosomal RNA", at positions 29 to 351 of the family's 1533-position model. The record is from RNAcentral. Lineage: Bacteria; Pseudomonadati; Pseudomonadota.